AGCCCUGUAGUGUAGUGGUCAAGCAUACGAGGCUCUGGACCUCGUGACAGUGGUUCGAAUCCGCUCAGGGCUA
RNAcentral lists this transfer RNA (73 nucleotides) under Candidatus Pacearchaeota archaeon. RNAcentral's name for it is "tRNA-Gln". It matches the Rfam family "tRNA". Rfam says of the family: Transfer RNA (tRNA) molecules are approximately 80 nucleotides in length. Their secondary structure includes four short double-helical elements and three loops (D, anti-codon, and T loops). Lineage: Archaea; Nanobdellati. The record is from RNAcentral.